Molecule: long non-coding RNA, 689 nt
Organism: Sceloporus undulatus (fence lizard)
Lineage: Eukaryota; Metazoa; Chordata; Lepidosauria; Squamata; Phrynosomatidae
Exons: 3
Source: RefSeq, a predicted model, not a curated record
UGUAAAUGAAUCCCUUCCCUUCCCAAUCCGUCCUAUCUCUUUAUUCUCGAACACUAUCUCUCCCCCCCGCGCGCGUUGUGACUUGGUACGUGCCGCCUUCUCUCGGCCUUGGAAGACCGAGGCGCCACGUGACCCCCCUGGAACCGUUUGGGCCGCCAUUUUCACUCGGCGCGCGCUGAGGGGAAAGGGAAAAAAGAAAUUUCAGAAUGGCAGAAGAAUCUGCUGCUCCAUCUACCUCUGCUGACAAAAUUGAGAGUAUGGAUGUGGAUGGAGAAGCCAAGAAACUGCUCGGCUUGGGGCAGAAAAACCUGGUAAUGGGAGAUAUUCCAGCUGCUGUUAAUGCAUUCCAGGAAGCUGCUAGCUUGCUGUAAGUAACAUGAUACCCUUCUGUUAACUCCCAUAGGGACCAGCAUUCCAGGUUAGAUAACAUGGUGCCCUUCACAUUUUGGACUGCAACUCCUCUAUCACCCUCUGCUAGUACAAUUGCCUACCCCAGGUGUAGCAUUUAGAGCCUCAAGAAGAUGCAGGGAAAAUUCUGGCUAGUAUUACAUGGGUAGUUAUUGGCAGAAUUCUAAGGUGACCAUAAUAACUAUGUCUUGAAUGUCUUUACAUACCAGAAUAACAAUUAGUUCUUGGUUUCUGUUGCAGGAUGUGUCCUAAAUUGAUAUUUGUAUUGCAGCUCAUCAAAG